GAUGAACGCUGGCGGCGUGCCUAAUACAUGCAAGUCGAGCGAACAGACGAGGAGCUUGCUCCUCUGACGUUAGCGGCGGACGGGUGAGUAACACGUGGAUAACCUACCUAUAAGACUGGGAUAACUUCGGGAAACCGGAGCUAAUACCGGAUAAUAUAUUGAACCGCAUGGUUCAAUAGUGAAAGACGGUUUUGCUGUCACUUAUAGAUGGAUCCGCGCCGCAUUAGCUAGUUGGUAAGGUAACGGCUUACCAAGGCAACGAUGCGUAGCCGACCUGAGAGGGUGAUCGGCCACACUGGAACUGAGACACGGUCCAGACUCCUACGGGAGGCAGCAGUAGGGAAUCUUCCGCAAUGGGCGAAAGCCUGACGGAGCAACGCCGCGUGAGUGAUGAAGGUCUUCGGAUCGUAAAACUCUGUUAUUAGGGAAGAACAAAUGUGUAAGUAACUAUGCACAUCUUGACGGUACCUAAGCAGAAAGCCACGGCUAACUACGU
RNAcentral lists this ribosomal RNA (496 nucleotides) under uncultured bacterium. Its description in RNAcentral is "partial 16S ribosomal RNA". It matches the Rfam family "Bacterial small subunit ribosomal RNA", at positions 28 to 506 of the family's 1533-position model. The record is from RNAcentral.